Molecule: ribosomal RNA, 436 nt
Filed under: Actinomycetota bacterium
Lineage: Bacteria; Bacillati; Actinomycetota
Description: bacterial SSU rRNA
Rfam family: Bacterial small subunit ribosomal RNA
Source: RNAcentral
UCUACGGAGAGUUUGAUCCUGGCUCAGGACGAACGCUGGCGGCGUGCUUAACACAUGCAAGUCGAACGGUGAACUCCGCUUGCGGGGGGAUCAGUGGCGAACGGGUGAGUAACACGUGGGCAACCUGCCCUCAGCUCUGGGAUAACUCCAAGAAAUUGGGGCUAAUACCGGAUAUGACUGCUGACCGCAUGGUCUGGUGGUGGAAAGAUUUAUCGGCUGGGGAUGGGCCCGCGGCCUAUCAGCUUGUUGGUGGGGUAGUGGCCUACCAAGGCGACGACGGGUAGCCGGCCUGAGAGGGUGACCGGCCACACUGGGACUGAGACACGGCCCAGACUCCUACGGGAGGCAGCAGUGGGGAAUAUUGCGCAAUGGGCGGAAGCCUGACGCAGCGACGCCGCGUGGGGGAUGACGGCCUUCGGGUUGUAAACCUCUUUCA